This 774-nucleotide ribosomal RNA is filed under the name uncultured Neocallimastigales. Its description in RNAcentral is "partial large subunit ribosomal RNA". It matches the Rfam family "Eukaryotic large subunit ribosomal RNA", at positions 24 to 649 of the family's 3401-position model. The record is from RNAcentral. Lineage: Eukaryota; Fungi; Neocallimastigomycota; Neocallimastigomycetes; Neocallimastigales.
UACGACUACAUAUCAGGCAUAUCAAUAAGCGGAGGAAAAGAAACUAACAAGGAUUCCCCUAGUAACGGCGAGUGAAGCGGGAAGAGCUCAAAUUUGAAAUCUUAAAGGGUUUCCCUUUACGAAUUGUAGUUUAAAGAAGUGUUUUCUGUUGGAGUCUCGGUAAAAGUUCUUUGGAAUAGGACAUCAUAGAGGGUGAGAAUCCCGUAUUUGACCGUUACUUUCCAGCUGUGUGAUACACUUUCAAAGAGUCGGAUUGUUUGGGAUGCAGUCCAAGAUGGGUGGUAAAUUUCAUCUAAAGCUAAAUAUUGGCGAGAGACCGAUAGCGAACAAGUACCGUGAGGGAAAGAUGAAAAGAACUUUGAAAAGAGAGUUAAACAGUACGUGAAAUUGUCAAAAGGGAAGCGUUUGACACCAGUGUUGUUUAGUUGAAAAUCAAUUCAAUAGUUUUUGAUUCUAAGUAGUAUUGACUUCAUCAGCUUGCUGCUUUCUUCUCAGAAAUUAUUGAAUGCACUUUUCAGUUAACAAGUCAACAUCAAUUUCUUUUGUUGUAAAAGGGUAAGAGGAAGGUGGCUUGCGCUUCGGCUCAAGUGUUUAUAGCCCUUUAUCUCUGCAAUCGGAGAGAUUGAGGUCUGCAGCGUAGAUCCUUCGGGGUUAGAUACAUUGGUGCUAAGCUAUAGCCUUGUAUAGACAACUUGUUGACUAUGCUCAGUCAUGUAGCUUACUCGCUGAUGCUAUUUUACCUACGCUUAGGAUGUUGAGUAGCGACAUACGCAC